This is a long non-coding RNA of Balaenoptera acutorostrata (minke whale), 2002 nucleotides long. RefSeq lists it as uncharacterized. Lineage: Eukaryota; Metazoa; Chordata; Mammalia; Artiodactyla; Balaenopteridae. The transcript is spliced from 3 exons. The record is from RefSeq and is a predicted model, not a curated record.
UGGAGAAGGGGGCCAUCUACAAGCCAGGAAAAAGCACCCUCACCAGGAAACAGAAUCAGCCAGUACCUUGCUCUUGGAUUUCCCAGCCUCCAAAACUGAAACUGCCGGCUCAGUGUUCAGUAUUCAGACCACAGAUCCAUGACUCACCAAUAAACCACCUGGAUAAAUGAACACAGAGGAUCUCAUCUGCUGCCGGCUAUUACCCUACCUCUUGAUUCUUACUCUGUUUUGCAUCCGGAAAUUCCAUUUUCAUUUGAGGUCUGCUGUAACAAGUGCCACAAACUACGCGGCUUGAAACAACAGAAAUGUAUUGUCUCACAGUUCUGGAGGCUGAAGUCUGAAAUCAAAGUGUUGGCAGGGUCAGGCUCCCUCUGAAAUCCAGAGGGGAGCAUCCGUCCUCUCCUCUUGCUCGGUUCUGGGGGUUUGCCAGCAGUCCUCGGCGCUCUCGGCUCGCAGCUGCAGCCCUUCAAUCUCUCCCUCCAUCUGUUACAUGGUGUUCUUCCCUCGUGUGUCUGUCCCAGUAUCCCUCCUCCUCUAGUAAGGACAGCAGUUGUAUUGGAUUAGGGCCACCCUAGUGACCUCAUCUGAAGCUUGAUUACAUCUGCAGAGACUCUGUUUCCAAAUAAGUUUGCAUUCACAAGUGCUGGGGUUAAGGCUUCGACAAAUCUUUUCAGGGGAUACAAUUCAACCCGUAACACUCUCCAUCCUUGUUUCUCCAACUCCCAACAGGUGUGGGGUAUGUGGUGGAGCUGGUCAACCAGAAAGCACUCUGAAGUCCCUUCAGCUCAGAGAGUCUGAGGCUCCGAGUGUCCACCAUUCUAAGUGCAGAAUUAGUCAUCCUUGGGCAACUAAGGAGCCCAAGAGAGAAUGAUUAGAAGCAAGUUCCAGGUCAUUAUAAAACAGAUAAGAAGCAUGGUCUUUGGAAACAUGAUUCAUGUACUUUCUUGGCAUAGCAGGCUGUUUUAUUUUGCUCGUCACAGUCACCUUUUUUGUUUUCAUUUUUAUCCGUUGAAUGAUUGUUGGUCAAAAGUUUUCUAAGCUGAAUUCCCAUCCUGUUACCCAUAAAAUUACAUAAAAUGAGAUGCUAGAGUUAAAAAAAAAUAACUUUCACAUCACAACUGAUUUUAGAUGUUGGCUAGGCUGCCAGCUGGAGCAGAUUAACAAGAAAAAUCAAGACUCCUCUCUCUGUCUUUGUCCUUCAGGCUAAAAAAAGGCAAGAUAAGAAGAGAGGACGCUCUGUAAUGAAUAAGGGUGUUGGUGCCUCCUGCUGGGUCAGCUUUGGGUAUCUGGAGGAGGAGACCCUUUGAGGCCCUGGGGGUGGGUUCUGGCUGGGAGGAGAAUUGCAAGUGGAGGGGUGGGGGCAGCAUAAAUGGAGAUGAAAAUUGUCUACACUCUCUCCUGAUGUUCCUGUGCUUCAAAGAAAAAACUGUGUCACAGUCAGGGAAGGGGAAAGCACUGAUCACUGAGUUGAAAGAGGACAUUUUCCCAGAGUUCUAGGCCCACAGUCCUCAGUGUGACAUGUGUACAAAGAUGCAUCUGCCUCCCUCCUGCGUCUCCCUCCACGUGACCUAAGGUGGACACCAGAUGUAUAAACAAGGACAGGGCAGUGUCCCAUCUGGAAAUCUCUGACUUGUGUGACAAAAACCUCAGCAAAAUGGAAUCUUCUCCAGAAUUAAAUAGUGCUAUUUUUUCCUGGCUUUCAGAAAUUAUUUAGAUAAACAAUGGGUAAUUUAAUUAUAAUGUUAUUAUGAAAGCCGGUCCUGUCACUUGCUGCCAACGCAAGGUAAAAACACUGGGAAUUCACACUGUGUUGUUAUUAUUUUGGUCUUUCUUUGCCGUUCCUUCAGCAAUGGGAGUUAUGGAUUUGUCAGCAUUUCCAUUAUUACCUCUUAUUUUCAAGGCCUCUGUCUUAGUUGCUGAAAUUGCAUUGUACUGGAUGGAAGCCUAGAGGUAAUUUCCUUUAGUGUUAUAGCAGCUGCAUUCUUUUAUGGUUGUGUGUGAC